Zea mays is the source of this 1207-nucleotide RNA transcript. RefSeq lists it as uncharacterized. NCBI's taxonomy places the organism in Eukaryota, Viridiplantae, Streptophyta, Magnoliopsida, Poales, Poaceae. The transcript has 7 exons. The record is from RefSeq and is marked validated.
GGGCGAGAGGGCAGGGGAAAAGCAGCAGCAGCAAAACUGGUCAGGGGCCAGCACACCGAGAUCCAAGCAUUUCACUAUCGAGCAGCGGAGAAGGACAACGAUAAAUGACAGGUAUGCAUCUUGACUAGCUCGCUGAGGGGGAUGGCUUGGUGGAUCUAAUGUUCGUUUGCUUGUAUCGCUACUAGGCCUGCUGUUGAUCGAAAGGAGCAAGCGAGCAACACCAGUGGACUACCCUUGAAAAUUGUGACCUGGCAAGUCUAGUAAGUGAUGCUUGCAUCAUAAUACAUUCACUUGAGACUACAUGAAUGCCCCCUAAUAUUUUAGGGAUGAGGCGACAGGGAAUAGCCCUUUCACUGUCUUCAUCUACUUUUGUUCUCCAGAUGACACGAUGGCCAUCUUCCUGGCGCUGCGGUCGCCGAAGCUGGAGGUGUUGGGCCUCACCACUACCUUCGGCAACGUCCACACCGCCCUCGCCACGCGCAACGCGCUCCACCUGGUGCCGCCGCCUACCUUCCUUCCUCUCUCUCCCCCACCCUGCUCGUCUGUUCCACCCACUCCGACCGCGGCUCACAUUUGCUUCUGAUGUGUGUGCUUGAGCUGGAGGCUGUUGGCAGGACUGACAUCCCUAUGGCAGAGGGAUCCCAUCCAACGAUCAAGAAAGCCACCAAGCUGAGGAUCGCAAGCUUUGUCCACGGUUCAGACGGCCUGAGGAUCGCAAGCUUCGUCCACGGUUCAGACGGCCACUGUGGAUCGAGGUGCGGCAGGUCGGGGCGCCGCCGCGGAUUGUAGGCUCGACCGAGACUACUUCGUCACCAACGUCCUCGUAUGCUUCAAUGUUAAACAUUGUCACAGGUUCUCAUAUAUGGGUGGAAGAUAAAGAUUUGUCCUGGGUUGAUGGUGAGGUAUUUCGAAUUGAUGGCCAAAACGCCCAUGUUCGCACAACCAAGGGGAAGGCGGGAUGGCGUAUUGUGGCGGCUACGAGGGACCGAUGUUCCUGUGUGGCAGUGACAACGAUACCGUGGAGCCAAGGCAAUGUCAGCAAGCUGAUUUUUCAGAUUGGAAUCUAUGGUUCUUUUUAAAGAUCGAAUAUGUUCUAGCAUCUUAAAAAGAUUUGUCAGAAUGUAAACAUUUGUUCUGAGGUCAUUUAGGCCUCAAACAGAAUUUCUUGGACUUAUUUCGUUGGAGGGAAUGGGACAUCUUGAGAUCU